UGGUUUUGCACUUAACUCAAGGAAUGCCUAUUCAGUAACCUGCCAUCAAUAGCAAUGACUGAGAGAAAAUUAGUUGUCAAAAAGAAUAUAGUUCUAAUAAUAUAGAUAUGUUGAGGCACUUAACAACAUUAAGAAUUUUAAAUAGCUCAUGAUUGAGGAGAAGUGUAGGAAUGGCAUCGAUACCAUUUUUCCCUUAAGAAACAUUUGGAUGGUGGGAAUGGGAUCUUCGAAUGAACAACAUAAAGCCAGUUGUUCAUAAAAUAUGAUAGGUUGUGAUAGUUAACAGGUCCAUGUGAAAGAACAUUCAGAUUUUUCUUACCAAAAUGAAAAGCACUAAAUCAAGGCACAGAAACAUUACCUGUGCACCAAAGAGGUGAGUACAAGCACGUUAAUGAUGGAUCUAUCUGCUGCUCGUAACAUUAAUAUCUCUGAAGCUUCAAGCAGCAUGAAUUACAGUGCCUCACAUUUUAUGAUCAUGUUUCUUGUCUUUAGUGUAAGUGAUGGAGUAAUAUCUUGAAAAACAAAAUUUCUCCCUCACUUUUCCUUUCCCAAAUUUUCAGCAAAGCAGGUAACCAACCACCAGAGCUCAUAUUAAUUGUUAAAUUAGAAACUGUUAUACAUGGUUACUACCUGUUUUAAUUAUGUCAACAAAAUGCAUCAUCUACAAGAAAGUAUGAGCAUUCAAUUUGAAAUAUGUAUCCAGCAUCCUUCAUUGGAUCUACGAGUUUAAGCAA
RNAcentral lists this long non-coding RNA (734 nucleotides) under Nicotiana tabacum (common tobacco). RNAcentral's name for it is "long non-coding RNA (NTAB_LNC001489)". Lineage: Eukaryota; Viridiplantae; Streptophyta; Magnoliopsida; Solanales; Solanaceae. The record is from RNAcentral.